AUUAACAAGAGCCAAAAUGAAAAACAAAAAAAAGGGAAAAUAAAUAUAUCGACAUUCCCAUAUCACUCUGUACUCUAACACACUUUCUUUGUUUUCUCUCUCGCCGUAGUCACCAUGUCCUCUCUACUCUCACUCUUCGUCUGAUAGGUAAUAAGGGAGUUGUGCCUCGACACUCCUUCAUCUCACUCUCUCUCUCAAAAACCUAAAAGCUAAUGCUCCUUCUAACUCUCUCUCUCACACUAUGUCGGUCUCUCACCUCCGACUUCGGUUCCGGCAUCCCUCUCUGUCUCGCUCUACUCUCUCUAGCCACUACUCCUGGUGUCUCAUUCCAACACCUCUUUCAGUCUCAUCCCCUCAGUGAUGGAUUAUUCAUAGAUUGUGAUGUGCUGGAUGUGCAAAAUGAAAUUGAAGGGAAUAAUUAAGUUUUGGCAAGUUGUAUGCAGUACAAAGCACAAAGGCAAGAUGCAUUUACAUUUAAAGGCUAGGAUGCAUAUAUAUGCAAGGUAGUAGCUAAAGGGAGAUGUGUUUAGUCCAAUAUAGGGGCCAAAAUGCAUGCCGUUGUCUUGCCUGAUGCAAGUGAGGAUGCUACUUUGAAUACCUUUGUUACUGCUGGAUUUGGUGUGGCAACAUAGAGGUGCAUGGUUCUAGGUACAGCUGGCAUUGAGACCUUUUAUUCUUUAUGUUUUAUAUUUAAAAAAAAUCAUAUUUAUGCCUUCUAUAACCAGUUUGAAGCUCUUGUAAAAUAAAAGUGUAGUUUAGAGUAAUAUCAGUUUUGAAUUCGAGAGGUGGUCAAGGUUCUGUUUUGAUAAUGUGAUUUGGCCAGCUGCACUAUUUGCACACUAUAACGAGCACGCAGAGUAUGAUAGACUUAGAGGGAACAAGUGUUAUUGAAGUGGUUAGUCUUGUCUGAUUGCUUAUAGUUGUAAGUCUUGCCUAAUGAAAAAUAUUGGUAUGCAUAGUGCUUGGUAAAAUGUCUUUGUUGUACCCUACAAAUACGAGCUAACUCGCCUUGUUUGAGGUACAAUUGUCAAACAAUGGAUGAAAGUUACAAGACUUUGAAGACAUUUCAGUAACUUCAGAUUAAAUAGCUCGAGAUUAUGUCAUCAAUUUGGGCUAUCGUGAGAUCCUCCACAUCACCCUAAAUGUCUGUGAUGGAGAUCAAAUAACUCAACGUCUAGAUCGCCACAGUUAGUUUUCGAGCAUUACUCGGGUCAAAUUGCUUUAGUGUAUAACCUCCAGUUUGAGGAAUACAUUCAGCUUGUAGCUUAAGGGUGAAUCUCCACAGACUCGGAGAUUCUUUAUACGCAAUUAAUACUUGUAAUGUUAUCUUAUAAAUGUCUGAUAUUAAAGGAAUUAACAAAUAUAAGGAAUUAUGUAUUUGGGAAGUUACCCAUUCUUGUAAGUUAUCAAAUAUUGUGUGUUUACUCAACAU
Molecule: long non-coding RNA, 1432 nt
Organism: Humulus lupulus (European hop)
Lineage: Eukaryota; Viridiplantae; Streptophyta; Magnoliopsida; Rosales; Cannabaceae
Exons: 4
Source: RefSeq, a predicted model, not a curated record